CGCCUCCAGUAAACUUAGCCCAAUUAUAAAAAAUUUAAUCACACUUUGGUCCUGCGAAGAUCAGAAAAUCAGAUCGGGCAGAUCAGAAAGUGGUUCUUAGGCAAGGCGAAAAGCAUAUCGGUUAGUUAUUUUUGAAGAAUUUGAUGAGAGUUAUCAUAAACAAAUAUGAAUUUUCUUGUAAUUCUUAUGAUAGAUGCAUUCACUCAAAAAGGGGAAAAAGGGCAUGCAGACAAUUCACCUGUCUUGAGGUGUUGAGAUUUUUGGAUGUCUCAUCCGCUGCCCGAUUUGCGUUUGGUAGAAUUUACAUUAUAAACCCGUUAGUAUUUUACUGAAGUUUCGAUGUGGGAAAAUAGUGAUCAUUUCCAAAAAAAGGAGGGAAUAAAGUUCAUAUGUAUGGCUGCAAAAUGAAAAAUGCCUUACCAAUUUUUGGUGUACAUGACAUUGUUUAUACUCAGACCUCGUCCAUUUCUAUUAGGCCGCUCACUUUUUCCUGCGGCUCAAUUUCUUGAUCAAAUGACUGAAUGAGAACUGCUACUAACGGGGGAAAAAUUUACUUUAAGGCCAUUCACUUUUUCCUGCAGCUCAAUUUCUUGAUCAAAUGACUGAAUGAGAACUGCUACUAACAGGGGAAAAAAAUUACUUUUAAAGUACUGCUAUAAUUUCUAAACUUUUUAAAAUGUUUUACUUUGUUUGUUUUAAGUUAAAAAUCUAUUCCUUUCACAUUGACUAAAAAAAUUUAAGAGGGUAGGCAGAUAAGUCACCAUUUUUGUGGAAUUUCAGUUCAGUAUUAGAUGAAUCAUGGCAAGCUACCCAUUCACUUACUGGUAGAACAUAACUCAUAAACAAAUUUAAAAUUUCAUUCAAUUUGAGAUAUUGGGAAAUUUUGAUGAUCUAUAUCAAAUCGUGUAUGGUUGCAAAUGAUCAAUGGCUUAAAAUUAUUUGGCCCUUGUUUGAGCCCCAUUUUUUUGGGAAGAAUGAAUUUUUGAAUAGUGUAUUGAUGGAAAAUGUGUGGUUAAAAAAUAAGGAAAAGUUUUGAAUUUGCGUGUAAUAUUAUUUUAUUGAAGAAUGUGUAAUUGAAAUGAUGUCAAAACAUUGUUGAAAAAUAUACUUUUCCAAAAAAAUGGGGCUCAAACAGGGGCUUGCUAUAUAAACUUGGAUGACAUUGUUUAAAAUCAUAAUUGUAUUUGCAGAAUGCCAUUUACUAUUUCCUAAUGCUCAAUUCUUUGAAUAAAUGGGAUUUUUUAUUUUAUUUUUUUAUUAUUAUUUUUAUAAUGAUAAUUGGAUAUUAAAUAAAGGAAAUUUCAUGUAUGUCCCAAAAUUUUAUAGCAUAGAAUUAUUUAGUGUUAAGGAUUUUCACCUGAGCAUAUUUUGAUACUAUUGAAAUGUUGAGGUACUUAAGUGAAAUAGCAUUAAACUCAAUUUUAUUUUGACCAAAUAAUUAGAUUUUGAUAAAGCGAGAAUAAGUAUAUCGAUAUUGGACUCAUUAUGUAGAUUGUAAUUAAUUAGGAGUCGUUUAACCAAACUUUUUGCAUUUUUUGAAAGGUCGGUGGGUAAGCUUCUAUUUUUGAACUUGGAAUGUGGCCGACGCCUUGCCCUGCCACCUUUCCCUUCUUGUUGAACAUAGCUUAUAAACAUUUUAACACUCGACUACAUUGUUGAUGUAGGACAAUAUUGUUAUUAUGAAUCAAGUCAUUGAACAAAGGAAUCUCCUACUCUGAUUUCCUCCGGUGCAAAUUUCCUGUGUUACUUGUGCUUGAUCAUUUGAUACCAGUUAAUGGAGGCAACACAGAUCUUCAUUCCUCUGGUAAACAUUCUGCGGUUUUGGUUGACAUUGUGAUUUUUGCCAUUGCAUCCUUUUUCUCCCUAAAUUUUGUAAUUGUUUAGACGUUUAUUUUUUAUUUGAGAAUUAAAUCAAAAGAAUGUAAAAGUAUUUAGCGGAAGGAAAUAGAAUUCUAUGAGGUUAAAAAGGCAAUUCUUAUUGUUGAUGACUUCUACUCAAAAGGGAUUUUCAUUGACUAAAAAGGUGGUCUGUAAGUAGCCGUUUUUGUGCUUUUUAUGGUUUUCUCAGUUAUUUUUCUUGAACUUUAAUGUGGCUGUACACUAAUGUGGCAGACGCCUUUCUAGGCUACCUGUUCCUUACUGUUUGAACAUAAUGUAUAAACGUGUUAAGAUUUCAAUACGAAGUUGAUAUGGGACAAUGGUAAUGAUGGACUGAUAUUCCCGUAGAUCAACAGUUUCAUGAAGUGAUGCUAUGAGGUUUUGGAGAAAGGAGUUACAGAGUGCCUGAAAUAGAGUUUAGGAAUCCAUCAGAUAUCGGAUGAAUCUGAAACCUUAAUUUUUUUUGAAAAGAACUUCAGAUAUAAAUCAGAAUAAUAGAACUUUUUAUUUUUUUUUAUUUUUUGUUGUCUAUACUUUGGUUUGUACUUUUUAACUGAAGUCCAGUAUGAAUUGCUUGCUUUGCUUGAUUGUUUGAUAUGGGUUUCCUCAGGAAACACAUUUGUUCAUACAUAGGUAUGACAGAAAUGACAAAUGCUCCACUAUUUUGGUAUAUAACCAUACAUGUCAUUGUUUAUAAUCAUAUAUCUUGCAUUUCUUUGAGGUCAUUUACUAUUUGGACAAAUAUUUUACACCUAUUAUUUCUACAAUGAAGACUAAGGGAAAAUAAGUUUUCUCAAGGAUGCUAUUUUCAUUUAUUGCGAACUUAAAAUAAUUUUUGUUGCACUAUAUAUAUAAAAAUUUCCGCAUUGUAUGGUUUUUAUAGUAUUUGUCAAUAUGACGAAGUGAUUCAAAGGAAACUUAGGAGAAAGCAUUUUUAAAGAGUUCCCCUAAUGCCGUCUGGAAACUUUCCUCUAUACACAAUUCGUUGCUCUGUAAAUGGUUUCUCACAGGACGUGGAUAAAAUGUGGUUUAACUUUCACCAUUUAUAAACACUUACCAAACACACUCUAACUAUUGGGUUUAUGUGAUUGAUAGUUUCUUCUUCUUUUUUUAGCGAUUUAAAUUAUUUGGUAUUUCUAUGGCUCGAUUAUUAAGGAAAAAGUUUGUUCGAAUAGUUCGUUAAUUUUCUUUAGGUCAUUUAUUCACUUCUAGAAUAUUCUUUAUUAUUCCUUUUGAAUGUUAAUGUCUCAAUCUUAGUUUGUUAUACUUUCUGCAUCCACAUUUAGUUGUUUAUGCAGAAUGCAAUCUCUAAGUUGAACAAUGUCUCUCUUUUUUUAUUUUUUAUUUAUUUUUUUAUUUUUAAAAUGAGAUUUCUGCUUCAUUUUGUUCUUUCCUGUUACUAAAUUAACUAAAAUUAUGUGCAUUACAUUAAUAGCCAAUAUAUAAUAGCUAUAUUUUCUCCGCGCAUUAUAUUGGUAGAUCAUUUUAAACAAUCUUUUAGUGGCCGGAUUGAGUUGAGUCCAUUAAUUCUAGCUAUCUGUCACAGACCACAAGGUCAUGACUGAGGAGAAAGCAUUUUUGAUUCUAGGCUAUAUAUUUUGGAUGGAUUUGAAAGAUCACUUUCAUUAUUCUGUGACAAUAGCAGUAUUUUAUUCCAAUAGGAAUUCAAUGAUAUCAAAGUUUAUAGACAUUAUGUUCCUAGUUGUCAAGAAAAUAAUACAGUGUUUAGAUUUCUAUGAAAUAAUUAGGAAAACUCUAUAAUUGCAAAUUCACUUAUUAAGGGGCUAUCACCCAGGAUCUUUCAUGAGCAUAUUGCUUACAUAGGUGUUGCAUUUUUUGAUGAUAUGCCAAGUUAGUGGGAGUUUGUAUUUGGAUUUUUAUUUUUAUUUUUUUGACACAUAAUUCUAUCCAUGGAUAUUCAAUUUAAUUUCAUAAAUAAAGCAUUCAGUAAGUUCCACUCCGAUUAAAGUUUUUAUUGAUCUCGUUAAAGAAUAAGGUAGAUCAGUUGGAACUAGGCAUGUUUAGAUCAAAUUACAUGUAAUUUCCACGUUACACAUCCACACUUGAUCUAUGUCAUUUGAUUGUAUUUAUAUGCUUGACCAUUGACUAUUUAGUUUUGAUAAUUAUAACAAAGGCCACUUUGAUCCUAUAUUGACAUAACUAACGGACGAGAUUAUUCGGAGAUACCUUUUGGUUAUGAUAGCAAAAAUAUUGAGCCCAUAAGGUUAUACACAUUUAUAAGGUAACAUAUGUGGACCAAGUGGGAGAUUGUUGGAAAAUUAUUUUAUUUUCAUGAGAGCCAACAUAUGUAAUUAAUUGUGUAUAAAGACUAUUUUAAAUUUAAGCCCAAAAUUAAAGUGAUCUAAUAAAGAAUUAAGUAAUUAAGUUUAGAGCUUCUAAGUAAAGUGUAGGUUGAAUUAUAUGUGUACACAGAGACAGAUAUAGGGGGGCUGGGCUGGGCUGUAGCCCCCCCCAGGUCCAAGAAUUUUUUUUUAAGGUAUUUUUUAUUUUUUUGGGGGUAAAAAAUCAGUUUUUUAUGUGUAAAAUUUUUUUUUCCACGUAGUAGUCCGGUUUGAAAUUUUGUAGCCCGAUUGUGGAUCCAAUCCUGGAUCCGUCCCUGUGUGUACAGACCAGAUUCCUUUAGUUCUGUAUUCCAUGAUGGACGAAAUACAUAUGAAAACUAUAUAUAGGAUUAUCGUCCCCAAUUCAUAUCCAUUUUUUCAUUCUUUGUGUCAUCUCAUCAACACAAGAAUACAAGGGAGCAUAUUAAAGAGGAAGAUCCAAUACUGACAAUCAAGAAUCAAGAUUAUGGAUCAAGAACAAGAAUCAAAGAAUCCAAGGAGGUAAAUUUCAAGAUUGAAAGUAAGAAACCAAUCAAGAAGGGAUUCCAAGUUGAUUUUCAAGAUUCAAAAUCUGGAAAUCAAGAUUCAAUAAUAAAGAAUAAUUCCCAAAGAAUUAAUGUAUUUUCUGCAUUAUUAAUUUUCUUUGUGAUUUGACAUGGAGGAACUUGGCAACAAAAUAAUUAGGCUUUCAAGUUUCCAGUUUUAUAAAGUGUCAAAUCUCAUAGCCAACCAUCUAUGAAAGAAAGCAGUCAGCCACAUAAAUUGCCCGCUAAUGAGGUGGUCAAAUUCCCUGUGAUCAAUAACUUGAUUGUGCAGGUAAUAAAGCCGGUUAAUAAUUGAGAUUAGUCAGAAAUCAUCGUCAUGUAUAAAAUAACUGAAUAAGUGGGAUCUUCUUCUAUUAAUUUCUCCAUUCAAGUCUUACAUUUUUUGAUUAAUUAAUACUAGUUAACUGAGGAACUACAUCUUCACAUUCGUAAUUUCCAUUUGUAAUCUGAGUUUGUCUCAAGUUUCCAUUAGUGAAGAUUGUACAGCAUGAAGUCCUCUCAAGAAGGCUAGAGCAGUUGUGAUUUUUCAUAUCAUUAUUAACAGCUAAUUAUCUGACAUAUUGAUAUUCCUGUAGAUCAUAAGUUAUGUGAAGUGAACUCAACAAUUUUGGAGAAAGAUUGCUACAAAAUGCCAAAAAAUAGAGUUUUGAAUCUCAGGUAUUUGUGUGGGCUGUCGUGACAUUUACAGAGCAUGGCUGUAAAGAUUAUGGUUCGAGACUUCGAGUGUACUUGGAUGGAGAGAGGCCUUUCGAUCUAGUGGCUUAUAUUGAAAUGGUUAUAGCAGGGGAAAUCUACCGAUAGUUGAUGAAUGUGGAAGAUUAAAUUUUCAUAAGUUGAAGGCAUUGGAAUGAUUUAGACUUUACUUCGAUGGACUAGGAAAUCAGAUUAUGAAAGUGAAGACCUUGAGAUUUGUUUGAGAGUGUGAAUUUCUAUCAUAGGAAUUCAAUGAACUACGUAAUUAAAGAGAAAUUCUUACUCAAUUAACUAUUUCUAAUUCAUCAAAACUAAAUGGUGUUUUCACGAGAAGGAAUAGAGUAUUGCCAAGAUGAUAAUUCAGUCACAUUUACCUAUUUAUAUUUGGAGAAUGUUAGUUAACUGCAACAUGUCACUAACAAAGUCUCUCAAUAAUAAUACCUUCAAUAUUGUAUUAUAUUUGGACAUCUAGAUAAUUAAAUAUUGGUUAUCUUAGAUUUACCAUUUAUGAUUAACUACGUAAGUUCUCGAUUCUUCCAAACGAGUUUGGUAACCCGAGUCGAAUAAGAACUAAAUGUAACCCUAUGAGAUCCACGACAAUCCAAAGAGGAAUUGUUCAUAGGUGAAAUUUUGGAUGGAUAUAUAUUGAGUCACAAGGUGUGACAUUUUUUCCUAGUAAGGAAAAAAAGGUUGGAGUAUAUUUGUUGGAAUUAGACGAUACAUAAGCUUGAUAGAUCAAUUAAAGUGGACAUGAGUUGUCUUUACCUCUGGUUCAAGUAGGAACAAUCUAUUUUCAAAUAACUUAAUUCACCAACUUUCCUUAUUUUAUAGGAGUAAAAAGAGGAAAAAUAGAUAAAAGUAUAGAAAGAGUAUAGAAAAACCAAAUAUGGGAUGCCGGAUGUGGUGCAUAUUCUAACUGAACAUCAAGUUUUUUAAGAAUAUUUGGAUUCUUGAAAUUUGAACAGAAGGCUAAUAAGUUAAUAAUAAAUAAAGCUCAUUUUUAUUUUCAAGGAAGGUUUUACCUUAUAUGAUGGUAUUGACUGCGAUAACCCUUUUUACAUUAUAGCGAGACAUGAGUAUGCACUAUGUUAACCAUAACAUUGCGUUUAAAUUUAGAGCUAUACCAAACAGGCUUGGCGACUGUAUUUUUAUUCUUGAUGUAGAAUUUAUUGAAGAGAUUUCCAUAAACUGACUUGUGGAUUUCAUUGUUAAAGGUCUUCUAAAAUUAUGCUGACUUUAUGGUUAUACUUGUAGAUUGAAGCAGUUAUCUUGAUUGUGGCACUUGAGUUUUGACAGAGCUUAUAUCUCAUACAAAUUUCAAUAUAUGGAUCAAGAUUACUUUAUUUAUGUGAAGGUGCUGUAGUUAUCCCAUUUAUUCCUUAGAGAAAAAAUUGUUAUUGGAAAAGGACAUACAGAUUUUGACUAAGAAAGAGAUCUAGUUGAGCACAAAUCAUUAUUAGAUUAUGUGCUCUUACUAUAAAGGGUGACAAUAUUUAGAGUAGCAAAAUUUAGAUCUAUUAGUGUAUAUCUUCCCGGAAAAUUAUCUUUAUAGAUGUAUUGAGCAUCUAAUGAUAUUCAUUAAAAAUAUGAAAUCCAUAAUAUUUAUGCAUGCAUGAAGGAUCACAAGUAUGAUGAUGGAACCAAAUACUUGAUGGAACUCUGUUGGAAGAUAAUAGCAAAGAAAAUGUGUCCGUGAUAUAUCUAUGCACAUAAUUAUAAUAAUACUUUGAAGACAUCUAAAGAUGUAUUCAUUGGUCAUGUCGAAUAUCUAGAAAUGCAUAGUAUAUGAUAUUUUGUGUAGUUGAAAGCUUUUGAUUGAGUUUUGCAUGCCCACAAAUGAACAAUUUUAAAUUCAUAUGUAAUUUAUUGUUGUGAUUACCAUAUAAAUGAUUUACAUUAACAUAUAAAGUAUGUCGAUAAAAAAACUGGGCUAUAGAAUAGGGAUUGAAAAGCAAUUGAGAUUGGAUCACUCCCAUAAGUAAUCACCUCAAAAAAUUUCAAGAUGUGCUAAAAUGAGUUUAUGCGAUCAUAUUUUGCACAUGGUUCCAUCGUCUUAUUGAAAUAUCAAGAUGAGAAUACUAUAAGUAGUCGGAAUUGAUUCUACUAACCAUUCAACCUAUUUGGUUGCCAUAUCGAAUUUUCAGUUUAAGAUUGUCUAGAAGAAUGAUUAAAAGGAGGACUUACACUAGAUAUCGAGGAAUACUUAAAACAUGCUGCAAGAGAGAAAGAAAUACUAUAGCAUGUAUUUUCAUACCACGUGUGCUCUGACAACCAAUAUUGGAUAAAUAGAUGAAUGGAUCCUAUCUAUUAGGUCCAAAGUGUAUUGACUAGUUCCAUAUCCGAAUUCAUAGUUUAUUAAGUUGUAAUUAAAGUCAAGGUGUGGGUGUUGGGAAUGUUGUUGGAAGGAUUCAACUUCAGCUCAAAAAGAUCAUGAAAUGUCUAAAAACUUCACACAUGAUCAAUAGGAUUCAUUUAGAAGUCAAAGAAGUGUCAAAGUACUGCAUAAGUUAUGCUCCGAAUUCAUAGUCACAGGUUGCGACUCAUUUUUCGCAUAGAAAACAUUCGAAUUGGAAAAAUGAUACUUUUACGAGAAUUGUAUCCCUUUAAGUUAGAUUUUCAAUGCACUUUGAAUCGUCUCAAUUUGAUAUCAGGUAGAAAAAUAUAAUGAAAAUAUUGACGGUGGCUCAGAGAGUGUUCCCUGAUCGACCCUUUGGGUGCUUGAGCAAUUUUAAUCGAAUGUGAGUGCUCGUUGAGCUUCCCAAGCUUGCUCAAGCAGUCGUGUUAGUGCCCAACACUAUUUCACAAUUUUUACCCAUUUUAUAAUCCCAAGCACUUUAUGUUAUAAAUACAUAAGCCAUAUUUCAUUCCAAGGGGGUGUUAAGCCUUCAUUGAUUCAAGAGAACAAAGAUCGAACAUCAAUUCUAUAAUUCUCUUGACUCAACCACAAGAUUAAAACACAAAAGAUCAAAUACCAAAAACCAAAUUCUUUAUCAAAUAGCCUUUAGAGUUCUGAAGUUUGGAAAGGGUAGAUGGAGUUCCAAUUGGAGAAAAAUGAGGUUCGUCGUUAGUGAUCCACAGAAAGUAAAAAGAAGUCCAGAGUUUUUGAAAAGUGCUGGAGGCACAAUUGAAGAGGCUUUUAGAUGAUUGGCAGGUUAAGUGGUCAAAAUCAAUUAACGUUUAGUUGUGUCUGGACCAACUAUAAGUUAUCUUUUCUAGUGGAUCUUUUUGACAAAAUUUGCCCGAAGGUUUGAUUCCUCUGAAGAGUUCUUCAAAGGGUUUUCUUUCGAACCAAAUUUGGUGUUCUAUAUUUUUAUGCUUUUGGCUUAUAUUUCAUGAUUCACUAUUAAGGUUUAAUUUGACCUUAAACUUAAUCAUUUAGAAAUAAUAAAUAAGUGACUUGUUGAUUUAUAUUAGUUAAUUGUUUUAAUUCCGCAUUAUACACCUAUUCAUCCCCUCUAGGUGUUGAUGAGUCUAAAAGUUGUGCUAUUCUUUCCAUUGGUACUAAAGCAUAAUUCGAUGAGUGAUCCAAUUUUUUCUAAAUGAGUCAAUCACGUUCGGUUCCUCCAUAUUUUGACUGAAGCAAUUAUGCUCACUAGAAGGUUACGAUUAGGGCCUUUUUGAAAUCUAUGGAUGAACAAGUUUAGGUUAGUGUAGAAAAUGGUUGGACUGUCCCAUCUACAUACGUUACUAGUUCUCUACUUGGAGUAGAGAUGAUUUAGCUACGUGUAAUUGAGUAAAGGUGUCCAUGCCAUCUUUAUGGCUAUUUCUCCCAAGAGUUUAAAUUAGUAUCCAUAUGUGAGACUACAAAUGAAGCUUGGGACAUAUUAGAAACCACACAUGAGGAAACCAAGACCGUGAAAAACUCUAAAGUUUCAAAUGUUGACCAUUAGGUUAGAAGAAGUAAGGAUGAACGAUGAUGAAUUCUUUGAUUAGUUCUAUGCAAAAUUAAAUGAUAUAGUGAGUUAGUGACUCUAGUUUCAAACUAUGUGAUCGAAUCCUUGAGGCUAAGAUUUUGAGAAAAGUGAUGAGAUCCCUACCUGAAAGACUUAGACUUAAGGUCACAGCUAUUGAAGAAAGCAAAAGUAUCAAUGCUAUUAAGAUAGAAGAACCUGUAGGAUCUUUUUAGACAUAUGAGCUUAGCUUACCCCAGUCUAAGCAAAACAAGUCUUGAGCUAUAAAUAUUGUUAAGGAAGAUGCUAGUGAGCAGACUCAUGAUGACAUCUAAAGGAUGAAAAGUUGGCUUACUUUGUUAAGAAAUUCUUUAGAAAUAAUAAAAUACCUUUUAAGAGAUAUAAGGGUGACUUUAGUAAAUAUAGAAAAGAUAAAAUAGAGAAGGGUGAUACUAGAGUGCCAGGAAGAUGUCUCAAUUUGUGAAAUAUCAUGAGUUCCAGGAUUUUGGACAUGUUAGAGUCGAGUGCCCGAGUUAUAAGAAAACCAUAGGUAAGGCUAUGAAAGCCACUCUCACCAAUAACGAGUCUAGCUCAACUGAUGAAAGUGAGAACUCCAAUUCUGAUGAGGGUGUGAAUUAUAUGGCGUUUACCUCUAUGGUUAAGAGUGAACAUGUAGAGUCUGAUGAGAGAUAUGAGAAUAUAGAGCAAUUUGACUCUUAAAAAGAAGAAUUAGAAGAUGAUAGAGAUAUAUGUGUGACAUUUGACCAAUUGUUUGAGGAAAGCCUAAAGUUGCGAAAGGUUAAUAGCUCUGCUUUAAGAAAUUGAAUGAACAUGAGUUAAAGAAGGAGUUUUGUGGUCAAAUUUGAGGAGUCAACUUGAAGAUUGAAAGAGUUAAGGGCUGAGAAAGAGUCCUUAUAAAUUAAACUUAAAAACUCUUACGAGUAAUUUUGAAAAAUCUAGUGUCCAACUUCAAUCCUUUUCUAGUGGUUUUAAGAAGAUUGACAAUAUCUCAUAACAGAACAGACUUGUGUAAUGCCCCAAACUUGACUUUACACACUUGGCCAAUAUAAUUCAUGCAUUACUUUUUAUUUACAUUACCAUUAUUUUUGCAUCAAGAGUUCGAAAUUAUUUUCUUUUAUUAUGGUGCAUUUGAUCAUUGAGGUUUUAAGAUCACUAUAUGAUUUUAAUCUUGACUCUUUGGCUUAGGUGGUGAAUAUUACAUUGAGCUAUGGUAGAAAUUUAGGUUAAUCUAGAUGUUGGAUAUUGAUUUGUUAAACAAUUGUAAUCUUCAAUGAGUCGAAAUCAUUAUUGGUAAACUUACACACUUUUAAUUUGGUUGAUAACGGUUACCUUAACCCUAUUUAAGUUUUUUUUUUUUUUUUUUUUAAACAUAUUUGGGACAUGGGGCACAAUGUGUCAUGAUCAAAAUGUAAUAAUAUAGUGUUCACAGGAAGCUAUAAAUAGUGAAGUACAAAUUGUUGAAGUUGGUCGAGAAUCGGCGCCAAUCGGGUAAGGAAUCGAAUGAACGGUUAAGGAAUUAACCCUAUAAAUUGUUUUAGGAUCUUACGGCAAUUAAAUUAGGUUGUAGAUACAGUAAGAUAGGCCAAAGACACUAUUUUUACUGCAAGGAUGGGUGUAAAAUCAGAUUUUACCACAAGGAGACACCACAUGCUUACAACACCUCGUGCUUGAGCUACGUGUCAUUUUAAUAGUAACUUUCUUUACUCCUAAACAUUACUCAUGACUCAAUCCCCUUAAAAACCUUAUAUCUACCUCCUAAAUAAGAGAUUAACUCUUUCAACUUAUCCCCAGUUGAGUCCAAGCAAAAGAGAAAGCAAAGGACCAAAGAGGAAGUGAAAACCAAGAAACUGAAACUGAUUUCUAAGCAGUGAGUUUAGCUCUCGGUUUUAUUAUUAUUAUUAUUAUUAUUAUUAUUAUUAUUAUUAUUAUUAUUAUUAUUUUGAUGGUCUUUUACCUCUUGAACCUCAAAUUUUCAUAAUAUUAUGUUGGAGUGUUAGUGAUUUUAUGACGGCAAAAGAGGAGUAAUUGGUUUGCAAGAACUUGAGUUAAAUCACCAAGGACAGAAAUUUGUGGUUGCUGGAUUUUAGUCAUUUGAGCUUGGAUUUUAUGUAAUUCUAUGAAGAGAACGUAUGUUUAUUACUUUGAAUGUUCUUAUAGAAGAGUUAUAAGUAUACUAAUAAGUCUUAAUAUGUUAGAACUAGAUCUACGGCAUGAUGAUGCAGUGGAAACUAAAGACAGUCACAGUAGUUUGACUGAUUUGGUGUCCUGUUAAAAGGACUUAACUUGAGGCUUAAAAUCCCGCACUGGUGGCAAACUUAUGGCAUCAAUACUUUCUUAUACAUGUUACAUUAAGUGUUGUAAAAAUUUGGGAAUGAAUGAAUGUUAUAAAUGGUGUGAAAAGACGAAUAAAACUAGACUGGACAGCAUCCAUUUUAAGAUUUCAUAUAAUUUCACCUUUUUACAUGUUCACCAAUCAACUAUAAAGCUCGAAAAAUUGAUUUGAUGAGUGUUAGGAAGUUAAUGAUCCAACUAAGUGGUGUUUAAGAUCAUUGAACUUGAAAAUAAUGGGAGUUAUAGGGUUGGUUACUCGUAGAGUUAAUCUAGAUUAUUUUGAAAUCUAUAGUCUUAGUACGGGUGGUGUUUAUGUUAGGCUUAUCAAAUUGAGGAUCAUAUUUGAUAUUAGAUGGUAUUACAAGUUGUUUGCGGCCCUAAAGUGGAAAAGGGACUUGAAUUUACCUGUAGAAAUCUCACACAUAGAGAGGCAAAAAGUAAGUAAAAAUUCACUUACAACUACGACACAAGAACAUAGUAUUCGUGAAAUACUCUCUAUAAAGUGUUGUUGUAAUAUUUAUAUGACCUUGAUAAUGAGUUAAUUGUAUAUCAUGUAAUGAUUAUGAUGAUUGAGCAUGUGGCUUCAAAGUAUAUUGAUUAAGUAUGUCAUUCAUGGGCAAGCAUGCACGGCAUAUUUCCAUUGUUAAAAAUCUAGCAUGCACAACAUGAUUGAAAAAAUAAAUUUACAUUAUAAAAUAUUUUAUUGACCAUUAUUAGGGCACCGAGACAUGUGAAGAUGAUCAUGUGAUAUGUUUUGACAUCGCGGGUGAGACUUCUCGAAUGAUCGCAAGAGUAGAUAAGGGGUGUGCUUUUGAUGAUCACGGAAGGGUGGACACUUGAUUGUGCCGUUGUGAUAUUAUGAUUAUUGAUAAUGCAAGAGAGAUACUUAUUAGGAGAUCAUAUGAGCAGUUAGGGGAUGUAUUUCUAGGGCUCACAUGUGGAUGGUCCACUCAACCGUGUCGAUAUCAUAUUGGUCAUUUGAUUAUUGAUUAUUGAUAUUGACAUUGUGCAAAGCUCUAUCAGGUGCAAAAUAGGUAGGUCAAGGACCCAAUAAAGAGAAAAAAUUUCAAAUGAAAUUAUUUCGAGUUAACUUUGAUGAAUAUUUGGAUAUGAUGUAUCUUAGCAUGAUGUUUUAAAGAAAUAAAUGGUGGCAUAUACUCAUAUUACUCAUACUUAUAGCAUGCAUGGUUUUUACUUAUUGGGCAUUAACUUAUGUUGUUUUUGCAUCAUAGGUGAGUAUGGAAUUUCUUAUAAGACAUGGCGAGCUGUGAAGUUCUUACGAGUUUUGAAGUUCAAUUACAUGGAUGGUGGCUUAUAGAGUUAUUUUGUAGGCUGUUGUUUUGGACUUACAAUCUGUUGUAUUAUAGUUUGGAAAUUAUGUAUUGUACAUGCAUGACUUUUGAAAUUGUAUGGUAAAUAUUUUGUAACCUUAAAGUAAAUAUGUUGGAAUAUGGUUAUAUAGUCUUUUGAGCUCGAUAUACUAUACGAAUAUCAUAGGUGAUUAGGCGAGAAUACACAAGAAUUUUAUCGUGAAGAUGCUUAUAGUCAUGUAAAAAUGUGUGAUUAUAUGCCAACG
This 13276-nucleotide long non-coding RNA is filed under the name Olea europaea subsp. europaea. Lineage: Eukaryota; Viridiplantae; Streptophyta; Magnoliopsida; Lamiales; Oleaceae. The record is from RNAcentral.